This 254-nucleotide unclassified non-coding RNA is filed under the name uncultured Acidimicrobiia bacterium. RNAcentral describes it as "contains 16S-23S intergenic spacer region". It matches the Rfam family "Bacterial small subunit ribosomal RNA", at positions 524 to 776 of the family's 1533-position model. Lineage: Bacteria; Bacillati; Actinomycetota; Acidimicrobiia. The record is from RNAcentral.
UACGUAGGGGGCGAGCGUUGUCCGGAUUCAUUGGGCGUAAAGCGCACGCAGGCGGUUUCGUAAGUCGGGUGUGAAAACUCCAGGCUCAACCUGGAGACUGCACCCGAGACUGCGAUGACUAGAGUCCGGUAGGGGCCCGUGGAAUGUCCGGUGUAGCGGUGAAAUGCGCAGAUAUCGGACGGAACACCAGUGGCGAAGGCGGCGGGCUGGGCCGGAACUGACGCUCAUGUGCGAAAGCGUGGGUAGCAAACAGG